Molecule: ribosomal RNA, 1359 nt
Filed under: uncultured bacterium
Lineage: Bacteria
Description: 16S ribosomal RNA
Rfam family: Bacterial small subunit ribosomal RNA
Source: RNAcentral
GAUGAACGCUAGCUACAGGCUUAACACAUGCAAGUCGAGGGGCAGCAUGGUCUUAGCUUGCUAAGGCCGAUGGCGACCGGCGCACGGGUGAGUAACACGUAUCCAACCUGCCGUCUACUCUUGGACAGCCUUCUGAAAGGAAGAUUAAUACAAGAUGGCAUCAUGAGUCCGCAUGUUCACAUGAUUAAAGGUAUUCCGGUAGACGAUGGGGAUGCGUUCCAUUAGAUAGUAGGCGGGGUAACGGCCCACCUAGUCUUCGAUGGAUAGGGGUUCUGAGAGGAAGGUCCCCCACAUUGGAACUGAGACACGGUCCAAACUCCUACGGGAGGCAGCAGUGAGGAAUAUUGGUCAAUGGGCGAGAGCCUGAACCAGCCAAGUAGCGUGAAGGAUGACUGCCCUAUGGGUUGUAAACUUCUUUUAUAAAGGAAUAAAGUCGGGUAUGGAUACCCGUUUGCAUGUACUUUAUGAAUAAGGAUCGGCUAACUCCGUGCCAGCAGCCGCGGUAAUACGGAGGAUCCGAGCGUUAUCCGGAUUUAUUGGGUUUAAAGGGAGCGUAGAUGGAUGUUUAAGUCAGUUGUGAAAGUUUGCGGCUCAACCGUAAAAUUGCAGUUGAUACUGGAUAUCUUGAGUGCAGUUGAGGCAGGCGGAAUUCGUGGUGUAGCGGUGAAAUGCUUAGAUAUCACGAAGAACUCCGAUUGCGAAGGCAGCCUGCUAAGCUGCAACUGACAUUGAGGCUCGAAAGUGUGGGUAUCAAACAGGAUUAGAUACCCUGGUAGUCCACACGGUAAACGAUGAAUACUCGCUGUUUGCGAUAUACUGCAAGCGGCCAAGCGAAAGCGUUAAGUAUUCCACCUGGGGAGUACGCCGGCAACGGUGAAACUCAAAGGAAUUGACGGGGGCCCGCACAAGCGGAGGAACAUGUGGUUUAAUUCGAUGAUACGCGAGGAACCUUACCCGGGCUUAAAUUGCAGAUGAAUUACGGUGAAAGCCGUAAGCCGCAAGGCAUCUGUGAAGGUGCUGCAUGGUUGUCGUCAGCUCGUGCCGUGAGGUGUCGGCUUAAGUGCCAUAACGAGCGCAACCCUUGUUGUCAGUUACUAACAGGUUCCGCUGAGGACUCUGACAAGACUGCCAUCGUAAGAUGUGAGGAAGGUGGGGAUGACGUCAAAUCAGCACGGCCCUUACGUCCGGGGCUACACACGUGUUACAAUGGGGGGUACAGAGGGCCGCUACCACGCGACUGGAUGCUAAUCCCUAAAACCUCUCUCAGUUCGGAUUGGAGUCUGCAACCCGACUCCAUGAAAGCUGGAUUCGCUAGUAAUCGCGCAUCAGCCACGGCGCGGUGAAAUACGUUCCCGGGCC